CCUACGGGUGGCUGCAGUGGGGAAUAUUGGACAAUGGGCGAAAGCCUGAUCCAGCCAUGCCGCGUGUGUGAAGAAGGCCUUCGGGUUGUAAAGCACUUUCAGUGGGGAAGAAAGCCUUGGGGCUAAUACCCUCGAGGAAGGACAUCACCCACAGAAGAAGCACCGGCUAACUCCGUGCCAGCAGCCGCGGUAAUACGGAGGGUGCGAGCGUUAAUCGGAAUUACUGGGCGUAAAGCGCGCGUAGGCGGUCUGAUAAGCCGGUUGUGAAAGCCCCGGGCUCAACCUGGGAACGGCAUCCGGAACUGUCAGGCUAGAGUGCAGGAGAGGAAGGUAGAAUUCCCGGUGUAGCGGUGAGAUGCGUAGAGAUCGGGAGGAAUACCAGUGGCGAAGGCGGCCUUCUGGACUGACACUGACGCUGAGGUGCGAAAGCGUGGGUAGCAAACAGGAUUAGAUACCCGGUAGUC
This 464-nucleotide ribosomal RNA is filed under the name Vreelandella stevensii. RNAcentral's name for it is "partial 16S ribosomal RNA". It matches the Rfam family "Bacterial small subunit ribosomal RNA", at positions 338 to 795 of the family's 1533-position model. The record is from RNAcentral. Lineage: Bacteria; Pseudomonadati; Pseudomonadota; Gammaproteobacteria; Oceanospirillales; Halomonadaceae.